CAGUAGCCGCGGGAAUACAGAGGGUGCGAGCGUUAAUCGGAUUUACUGGGCGUAAAGCGUGCGUAGGCGGCUUCUUAAGUCGGAUGUGAAAUCCCUGAGCUUAACUUAGGAAUUGCAUUCGAUACUGGGAAGCUAGAGUAUGGGAGAGGAUGGUAGAAUUCCAGUUGUAGCGGUGAAAUGCGUAGAGAUCUGGAGGAAUACCGAUGGCGAAGGCAGCCAUCUGGCCUAAUACUGACGCUGAGGUACGAAAGCAUGGGGAGCAAACAGGAUUAGAUACCCCCGUAGUCCCUGUCUCUUAUAC
Molecule: ribosomal RNA, 301 nt
Filed under: uncultured bacterium
Lineage: Bacteria
Description: partial 16S ribosomal RNA
Rfam family: Bacterial small subunit ribosomal RNA
Source: RNAcentral